UACGAAGGGGGCUAGCGUUGUUCGGAAUUACUGGGCGUAAAGCGCGCGUAGGCGGAUUUGCCAGUCAGGGGUGAAAUGCCAGGGCUUAACCUUGGAACUGCCUUUGAUACUGCAAGUCUGGAGUACGGGAGAGGUGAGUGGAAUUCCGAGUGUAGAGGUGAAAUUCGUAGAUAUUCGGAGGAACACCAGAAGCGAAGGCGGCUCACUGGCCCGAUACUGACGCUGAGGCGCGAAAGCGUGGGGAGCAAACAGG
This 253-nucleotide ribosomal RNA is filed under the name uncultured bacterium. Its description in RNAcentral is "partial 16S ribosomal RNA". It matches the Rfam family "Bacterial small subunit ribosomal RNA", at positions 524 to 776 of the family's 1533-position model. RNAcentral also lists the same sequence under 1 other name. The record is from RNAcentral.